GAUGAACGCUGGCGGCGUGCCUAAUACAUGCAAGUCGAGCGAACAGAUAAGGAGCUUGCUCCUUUGACGUUAGCGGCGGACGGGUGAGUAACACGUGGGUAACCUACCUAUAAGACUGGGAUAACUUCGGGAAACCGGAGCUAAUACCGGAUAACAUUUGGAACCGCAUGGUUCUAAAGUGAAAGAUGGUUUUGCUAUCACUUAUAGAUGGACCCGCGCCGUAUUAGCUAGUUGGUAAGGUAACGGCUUACCAAGGCGACGAUACGUAGCAGACCUGAGAGGGUGAUCGGCCACACUGGAACUGAGACACGGUCCAGACUCCUACGGGAGGCAGCAGUAGGGAAUCUUCCGCAAUGGGCGAAAGCCUGACGGAGCAACGCCGCGUGAGUGAUGAAGGGUUUCGGCUCGUAAAACUCUGUUAUUAGGGAAGAACAAAUGUGUAAGUAACUGUGCACGUCUUGACGGUACCUAAUCAGAAAGCCACGGCUAACUACGUG
This 497-nucleotide ribosomal RNA is filed under the name uncultured bacterium. RNAcentral's name for it is "partial 16S ribosomal RNA". It matches the Rfam family "Bacterial small subunit ribosomal RNA", at positions 28 to 507 of the family's 1533-position model. The record is from RNAcentral.